Molecule: long non-coding RNA, 810 nt
Filed under: Panax ginseng (ginseng)
Lineage: Eukaryota; Viridiplantae; Streptophyta; Magnoliopsida; Apiales; Araliaceae
Description: long non-coding RNA (PGIN_LNC002886)
Source: RNAcentral
GUCUAGAUGUGAUCCAGGCGGGUUCAAGUGCCUGAAGAGCAUAUUUACCGAAAGAAAUAUGAUUACCUCGAUAAGAUAUUCCCUUCAUUCUUCCUCUAUGUUGUUUACGGAAUCUGGUUCUUUUGGGGUUAUAGUUGAUGGUUGGUUCUGAAUUCCAUCUCUACUACAGAACUGGACGUGAGAGUUUCUUCUCAUCCAGCUCCUCGCGAAUAAGAAAAUCUUCAACUUCUCUAUUAUUCGUUUGUAUAUCUUGUUUUUUUAGAUAACUAAACAUAUUAAUAUUUCUAUUUUAAAUAUUGUAUGACUUUUUAUAAUGUUAUAACGAAUCUUAAUUUUGUUUUGUCUUUUAUUUUCUUUGAUUGACUAAAAUUUAGCAAUCCAAGAAAAUAAAGGUUUCGCAGGCGAAUAUUUACUCUUUUCAUCGCUAUUUCAGUUGUAGGGUUAGCUCUUGAUUUUUCUUUUGUUUAUGCAAAAAAGAUUUCAGUUGCUACAACGAUAUGACCGAUAUCUCAUAUCUUGACUGGUUCUUUGGAUCCAGAUAAUGCGAAGUGAUGAGUUGGUUAGUAGUCCUAUAGUUAUUAGUUUAUAGUAAGAGGCUAGUCCUUUUUUUAUUGAAUCCUAACCCUAUAAAAACCAACGAGUCACACACUAAGCAUAGCAAUUAUAUCAAAUGGCUAAUCGAAUUUUUAUUCAACCAUAUAGAAUUAAGAAUUAGAAUUCUUCAUUUUAGUUUUUAUUGAAUAGAAAAAAGGAACGAAUUUCUCUUUUUUGUUCCAUCACUAGAUCGAAGGGAAAGACAAAUAAAGGUUU